CAGGAUUAGAUACCCUGGUAGUCCACGCCGUAAACGAUGUCGACUUGGAGGUUGUGCCCUUGAGGCGUGGCUUCCGGAGCUAACGCGUUAAGUCGACCGCCUGGGGAGUACGGCCGCAAGGUUAAAACUCAAAUGAAUUGACGGGGGCCCGCACAAGCGGUGGAGCAUGUGGUUUAAUUCGAUGCAACGCGAAGAACCUUACCUGGUCUUGACAUCCACAGAACUUUCCAGAGAUGGAUUGGUGCCUUCGGGAACUGUGAGACAGGUGCUGCAUGGCUGUCGUCAGCUCGUGUUGUGAAAUGUUGGGUUAAGUCCCGCAACGAGCGCAACCCUUAUCCUUUGUUGCCAGCGGUCCGGCCGGGAACUCAAAGGAGACUGCCAGUGAUAAACUGGAGGAAGGUGGGGAUGACGUCAAGUCAUCAUGGCCCUUACGACCAGGGCUACACACGUGCUACAAUGGCGCAUACAAAGAGAAGCGACCUCGCGAGAGCAAGCGGACCUCAUAAAGUGCGUCGUAGUCCGGAUUGGAGUCUGCAACUCGGCUCCAUGAAGUCGGAAUCGCUAGUAAUCGUGGAUCAGAAUGCCACGGUGAAUACGUUCCCGGGCCUUGUACACACCGCCCGUCACACCAUGGGAGUGGGUUGCAAAAGAAGUAGGUAGCUUAACCUUCGGGAGGGCGCUUACCACUUUGUGAUUCAUGACUGGGGUGAAGUCGUAACAAGGUAACCA
RNAcentral lists this ribosomal RNA (729 nucleotides) under uncultured bacterium. Its description in RNAcentral is "bacterial SSU rRNA". It matches the Rfam family "Bacterial small subunit ribosomal RNA", at positions 773 to 1502 of the family's 1533-position model. The record is from RNAcentral.